RNAcentral lists this unclassified non-coding RNA (343 nucleotides) under fungal sp. RNAcentral describes it as "partial internal transcribed spacer region". The stretch from base 1 to 46 matches the Rfam family "Eukaryotic small subunit ribosomal RNA", at positions 1786 to 1831 of the family's 1831-position model. Lineage: Eukaryota; Fungi. The record is from RNAcentral.
AAGUCGUAACAAGGUUUCCGUAGGUGAACCUGCGGAAGGAUCAUUAACAUAAGAAAGGAAUAAACGAAAGUUUAUUUUCAUUUUCAUCCGUGCACUUACGAUGUCAUUUGGCGAAUCGGUAGUGUGAAGGUCCCUUCUCGAAACAUAGAAAAGAUCGAUCCUAUCCUGUGGUGAUGGAAUUGGAAUUGCUAUUCUUCGGACUGCUUUUUCUCUUUCCGUCAUACCCGUGUAUUCGUCAGCAGUUUUUACCCUCUACUUCUUUUGUCUGACUACAAUCAUGUUCCCCUGAAAAGGAAUGAAAAUAAAAACAAUAAAACUAUGAACAACGGAUCUCUAGGCUCUU